This is a long non-coding RNA of Tigriopus californicus, 4263 nucleotides long. RefSeq lists it as uncharacterized. NCBI's taxonomy places the organism in Eukaryota, Metazoa, Arthropoda, Copepoda, Harpacticoida, Harpacticidae. The record is from RefSeq and is a predicted model, not a curated record. The transcript has 2 exons.
AUCCAGAUCCCUCAAAUGUGCUCCCGUCUGUCCCUCAGUCGAAAGGGUGCACUUUUUUUAUCAACCUCAUUUGAUCAGGAGGUAUAACUUUCGAUUUUUAUCUCCGCCCAGGAUAUGUAUGAUUACUUUCUGGGCUUGAAGUUCCAUCAAAUUAUAAAGUCUAGCCUCUCUUCACUUGGACAUCAAUCCCUUGAUUAGACUACAAAAACCACGAUGGGAGACCAAGAUCCCAUGCAGUACUCCUUAGUUGCUGCUUUACCUUUGCCACGAUGGGAAAAAUGAUUCUUUUUUUAAUUUUUACAGAAAAAAAAUAUUGUUUCACUCUGUGCAAAAGAGCAGUUCAAGCAGUCCGAACCGUAAAAAAAUAUGUGUUCUGAAGUUGUCGGUCGUAUUGUUACGCCUAUAAAAAGUUCUCAAAUUGUUGGCAGACUGGAGCAAAUCCUCCACAAAGAGUGAGAGUGACGAGUGGGAUUUGUUGAGACAUGCAUGAUUUGCUUGGAAGCAUCGGGAGCGAUCUCGGAAGUUUGCACUGCUCUUACUUUCUUUCAUGUCAAACAGAAAACUGGGCGACCAUCCAGGUAAGUAUGUUGUGCAUGGGUGCGGGUAAGUAAGCUUCUCUUCCUACCUAUUCUCCAUCUCCGCCUUCUCCUCUUUGGCCGCGUCCAUCCAUCCGACCAAUGUCAGCCAACCACCCGAGCAUGAUGGCAUAGGAAUCAAAAGUAGCGGGGUGUCUUUGGACAAUAUCCUAUUGUCACACUUUAGCAUCUUGAAAUCUCAAUUCACUGUCUUUUUUAUAGUCUAUUAUGAAUUAGAACACCUUUUGGGAUCCCGUUUUCAGAUUUAACGUUUAAUGCAAUGUCACAGUAUGAGUUUUUGAGCGUGGGGAAAUUCUUUGUUCUGCCCAUUUUUGGGUGAGCUGAAGUGGGGCUGGAGUCUAGUCUAGAAUUUAUUGAAACAAAUUCAAUUUAGCCGCCAGCAAAUGUGGGACUAUCACGCACGAAAACUUUAUCCCGUGCAUCAGUCACUCAUUGUAGACAUUUCUCCCUUUAAUAAAUUGUACGUUCCAACAAGAGAAAACUACGCCAUGUCAAGUUAAUCAGAGAGAAGUUCAUAUCCCCUCGUCCGACCGAAAUUGCUAGCCAAUCCUUAAGACGCCAAGUCAAGAGAUACCCAAGCAUAAUCUGAGCCUAAAUACAUCGUGGUGCCCUAUUUUAUUUGCAUCCUGUCCAGGAUCUCUGCCGUCAUGUUUGAGAAAGUGGACACAGACCGAUAAUUUUCACGUCUUCAUAUCUCCGGCGGAGAAAACUGCUCUUGCUUUGAUUCGCCAUUUUUUCCAGACCAUCCAUGAGGUUUGGUGAGCCAGGGAAAGAUGUCCCGGCAAUAAUUACUAUUUACAAUAACUGGAGCGUUGGCUGUGCAAGGUAAAAUUUCGUUUUAACAUCUAUAUUGACACAUGUGAAAUCUUUAUUACCCGAUGGCUUAGUUGUCUUUAGUCUUCUUAGCUAGAUCCAAUUCGCGAACAUAGGUUUUCAACCUAAAAGUAUGUCCAAAUGGAGAAAACAUAUGUUUGUUUGCCUCAAAAUAGCAAAAAAAGCAACAACUUACCAAAUUUGAAUGCAAAUGUGAUAAAAAUUGCGUGGUUUCUUUAGCAUUUGGUUGCUUCUGGACGUCAUUGCUAUAUGUUAAAAAAAGAUCAAUCAUAAGUCAUGGCCAUUUUGCAUCGAAUUCCUGAUUCACCCACCCAAUUUCCUUUUGGUAGCUCUUAAUAGCAAAUCUUAAUAAUCUGAUAAUUACUUGUGCACUAAGUUAAUGUUUUUUUAACUCCAUGUCAAUCUUUGCCCUUUUUCAUGUUAUGAAUGAUAGAUUCUAAGUGAACCAAAUAUGCUCUUUCAAACCCGUAUUGAAGUUCGUGACGUCAGAGUUUCCCCACCAACAUCUCUGUGAUUGAUGGGAUCCGCUUCAGUUCCUUGUUUCUAAGCUCUAACCCAUAAGCUCCCAAGAAUUGGUUGCAGAACAGAGGCGAGUUUUUUGAAGGUCUUACUUCGGAAUUAGGCGCUUUGACGUUAUCGAAUACGAAAAUAUACCAAGCAAAGUGAUGAGUGGGUACCCAUUUUGGGUAACGUCCAAACCAUAAUUCGGAGAUAAGAGCCUUUAAAAACUCGCCCCAGGAUUUCAGACGAGGAAUUGGGAGAACUCAACACAUUCUACCCUUAUAUUCUUGGAUCAUUCCCCAUGGAUGAAGUGGUGCAUUUCAGGAAAGAACUCUUCACUCAAAACGAGUUGUACAUACAUAUAUAUGAUGUCAAGAUAACAAUCUUUGUUCUCCUUUUCUAAAGAACAAAGAAGUUUUGUCUGGGAAAAGUUUGGAAAAACUCUGUGGGCAGCCAUUUAGUACAGACUGAAGUGUACAGUGGUGGGUUGGUCGGUCUCGAAUCGGUUGUGGACCUGAAAAGCCAGCGGGAGUAAAUUCAUUUGAAUAUUUAGAAAUCCACCUCCCUCGAAUGAGUGAUUCACUUCAGACAUUCUAGGCAUUGCAUCCAUAUCUUGGAUGGAGAGUGGAUGAGGGAUGCAUUAUCUUGGGUCUUUCCCGCCAUGCCACAUCCAGCAGGUCCACGUCCGUCCAUCCGUCCGUUCGUCUGAUGAGGUUUUAUUGGCCUUUGUUUGAGAUUGAUUGACUUUCUGACCCCUUUUCCAGAACGGAAACUAAGGCUGUCUGGAAUACCAAACUAUGAUAUUCGGCUUCCCGAUCAGCUCAUUAUGGUGAAAGAUCAUCAGGUUCGAUGCUGCCAAGAAAGAGGCGCCUCAGCCUGGCACCUCAUUAAGCAUCCAUCAAAGGGAGGUGCAAUUUAAAUCAAAUCCAGGGUUGCCGAACUAAUCGAAAGUCAAUCGAUAAAAGGUGUUUCUACUACGCAUCACCCGACUCUACCAGUCAUGGCAGCCCUUGGAUUUCUGAUCAGAUGCAUACGGUUUUGAGGUGACGCUCAAGAAUUUCCUCUUGAUGAAACUGACUCUGGGAUUGAUGACCACACCCGCCUUGGAGGAAUCUCCGGAGCCCCCAUGGAAAACUUUUCGCUCACAAUACCUCUUCGUCAUUUAAUGAUUUGUUAGGAACUCGAGAAUCUGGGUCGUAAUCCUGAAACGACAUUGGCAAUUUUCGCUGACAAGCAAGCAAGUCUCUUCUGAUUCUCUUUGCCUAUCUAGUGAAGAAUGUCCAUAAACUUUGGGAUGUUCAAUCGCUCGAGAGAGUUCUUGAUCGGAAUGGUCGGAAUGGUAUCGCAAUCCUCUAAUGGGCAUCCGUUGACCCGAGAGAGUGCCUAGAUAUCAAUUUGAAGCCCGAGCAUCAACCCGGCGAAUGAGAAUGGAUGUGGAUGAGCACAAAAAAGGUUCAAUUGUCCUCGACUCCAACGUCUAGGUCGGCCACAAAUGAUAUUCAUAGAACCCAUUCCAUUGUGCAUAAUCAGGUCACUUGAUUGCCUUAUUUACUACCCGGCUUCACUUUCCUCGGAUCUACCCGAAAAUCCACGACUGGAGAAAAACCGGCUGGUGUAUUCAAUACUAAUGUGUCUUGUAGUACUACAUACAAUGCCUACUCAACAUUCAACAAGAGAAACCGUGUGCUGUUCGAAGAUCUCUUCAUGAACUUGAUGAACUUUCACAUGGGCGUGCAAUAGAAAUCUCAUUAUAUCAGGUCAAUACUUUCCGUCAUGGAGUCAGUCAGGAUCUACCAGGAAAGAGCGCAUCCACGGCGAAAUUUGUGACAUCAUUAGUGGUGCAUUCACCACUUGCACUCGAUCCGAUGAUGAACACGCUUGGCACAUGGCAAGCCAUCCUCACCAAUCACCAUUGAGACUGGCGCUGAUUGACGCACGAGUCCGGCCAAACUUUCGGGGUGUCCUUUGAAGAUGCUUUGGCCAAGGCUUCCCUCAGAUUGGCGGAGAAAGUGGGGAAUGGACCAAUCCGGUCGGGUUCUAGUGUAAGAAGUGAUUGAUGGUAUUGAAACAUCAUUGAUGAGGCGCCCAUUGCACACUUGCUCUGGAUUAUGAUUUAUUUAUUUGCCCAAUCUCUUGUUCUUGAAGCUUAAUGAUCCACCCCAAGCCUGGUUAACAAUCAUAAGCGCUGAACACAUUUCCAACGGAGCCCUCCAACUUUCCAGGUCCAUGGUUGGACACCUAAUGAUGUUGAACCAGAUUUCCGUUUCUUCUCCUCUCCUUCGUUCUAUUUUCGAUCAUUGUUUUGAAGAGAUAAACCUAAACUGGAAUUUGA